This 73-nucleotide transfer RNA is filed under the name Ophiocordyceps sinensis CO18. RNAcentral's name for it is "tRNA-Val (CAC) (tRNA-Val-CAC-1-1)". It matches the Rfam family "tRNA". From Rfam's summary of the family: Transfer RNA (tRNA) molecules are approximately 80 nucleotides in length. Their secondary structure includes four short double-helical elements and three loops (D, anti-codon, and T loops). The record is from RNAcentral. Lineage: Eukaryota; Fungi; Ascomycota; Sordariomycetes; Hypocreales; Ophiocordycipitaceae.
AGUCGAGUAGUAUAAAGGUUCAACACGCUUCGCUCACACCGAAGAAAUCCGGGUUCGAUUCCCGGCUUGACUA